RNAcentral lists this ribosomal RNA (261 nucleotides) under uncultured bacterium. RNAcentral describes it as "partial small subunit ribosomal RNA". It matches the Rfam family "Bacterial small subunit ribosomal RNA", at positions 26 to 285 of the family's 1533-position model. The record is from RNAcentral.
AGGACGAACGCUGGCGGCGUGCUUAACACAUGCAAGUCGAGCGAGGCCCUUCCUUCGGGAAGGUGCCCUAGCGGCGAACGGGUGAGUAACACGUGGGCAAUCUGCCCCUAGCACUGGGAUAACUCCGGGAAAACCGGGGCUAAUACCGGAUAUGACCUCUGAGGGCAUCCUCUGGAGGUGGAAAGGAUCCUGGCUAGGGAUGAGCCCGCGGCCUAUCAGCUUGUUGGUGGGGUAACAGCCUACCAAAGGCGACGACGGGUA